This 373-nucleotide ribosomal RNA is filed under the name uncultured organism. Its description in RNAcentral is "bacterial SSU rRNA". It matches the Rfam family "Bacterial small subunit ribosomal RNA", at positions 526 to 896 of the family's 1533-position model. The record is from RNAcentral.
CGUAGGGCGCGAGCGUUGUCCGGAUUUAUUGGGCGUAAAGAGCUCGUAGGCGGCUUGUCGCGUCGGCUGUGAAAUCCCGUGGCUCAACUGCGGGCUUGCAGCCGAUACGGGCAGGCUAGAGUUCGGUAGGGGAGACUGGAAUUCCUGGUGUAGCGGUGAAAUGCGCAGAUAUCAGGAGGAACACCGGUGGCGAAGGCGGGUCUCUGGGCCGAUACUGACGCUGAGGAGCGAAAGCGUGGGGAGCGAACAGGAUUAGAUACCCUGGUAGUCCACGCUGUAAACGUUGGGCGCUAGGUGUGGGGGGCCUCUCCGGUCCUCUGUGCCGCAGCUAACGCAUUAAGCGCCCCGCCUGGGGAGUACGGCCGCAAGGCUA